GGAUGUGAGGGCGAUCUGGCUGGGACAUCUGUCACCCCAAUGAUUGUCAGGGUUGAUUUGGCUGAUCUGGCUGGCUAGGCAGUGUUCCCUUCGUCCCUCACCACUCCAUGUGCAUCCCUCCCAUAGCUGCACAUUUGCUUAAAGAGGACAACCUUCCCCAACGGAGGAGGAUCAUUCUUCGGUCAAGGAUAUAUGAAUAGCUGUGCUCCCCCUAGAACCUCCAAGAAAGUUUUCAAGAAAGCUCUCCUUGGAAAGAUCUCUAGGAUAUGUUAAAAAAAAAAGUGAAAAUAGAAAAAUGUAGAACAUAGAUU
Molecule: unclassified non-coding RNA, 311 nt
Organism: Otolemur garnettii (small-eared galago)
Lineage: Eukaryota; Metazoa; Chordata; Mammalia; Primates; Galagidae
Gene: 7SK
Rfam family: 7SK RNA
About the family: 7SK was discovered as an abundant small nuclear RNA in the mid-70s but a possible function has only recently been suggested.
Source: Ensembl